This 531-nucleotide ribosomal RNA is filed under the name Triticum aestivum (bread wheat). RNAcentral describes it as "partial small subunit ribosomal RNA". Lineage: Eukaryota; Viridiplantae; Streptophyta; Magnoliopsida; Poales; Poaceae. The record is from RNAcentral.
AUGAGGGUCUACAAGAAAGAAAAAGAGGUGCUUAAAUCUGUCCUAAAGGGUGUGAGCUCCAUAUGUCUAACUACAGAUAUGUGGACAAGCAACCAAACCUUAUCUUACAUGUGUGUGGUUGCACACUAUAUAGAUGUCAAUUGGAAGAUGCAAAACCCUGUUCUUGCUUUCAUAGAGUUGGAUCCUCCUCACUCUAGAAAUGUAAUUGCGGAUGCUCUCUAUGCGUGUGUGAUAGAAUGGAAUAUUGAGACCAAAAUUAUGUCCGUGACACUUGACAACGCUUCAAACAAUGAUGGUGCGGUCGAUGCUUUGAAGGCCAAGUUCUCGUUUCGGAGAGGUAAGGACUUCGAAGGCCAAUAUUUUCAUAUCCGUUGUUGUGCACACAUCCUCAACUUGGUCGUGCAAGAUGGGACAGAGAUCUUAGAUAAUUUGAUAAACAACUUGAGAGAGACGGUGAAGUACUUCAAGUGGUCAACUUCUCGUCUCCAUGCUUUUUGUUGCCACUUGCAAAAGCUUGGGUGUCAAAGUUAG